Molecule: ribosomal RNA, 244 nt
Filed under: uncultured bacterium
Lineage: Bacteria
Description: partial 16S ribosomal RNA
Rfam family: Bacterial small subunit ribosomal RNA
Source: RNAcentral
CGCGUGGGCAACCUGCCCUGUACAGGGGGAUACCAUCUGGAAACAGAUGCUAAUACCGCAUAACCGCAUCAGCCCGCAUGGGCAGAUGCGGAAAGGGAGAAAUCCCGGUACAGGAUGGACCCGCGUCUGAUUAGCCAGUUGGCAGGGUAACGGCCUACCAAAGCGACGAUCAGUAGCCGGCCUGAGAGGGUGGACGGCCACAUUGGGACUGAGACACGGCCCAGACUCCUACGGAAGGCAGCAG